RNAcentral lists this non-coding RNA (177 nucleotides) under pig gut metagenome. The record is from RNAcentral.
UGGUUCGGGCAUUUUUGUCCGCCAAGAGGGAAGCAGGUGAGAAGCCUGAACGAACCCGUCGCUGUAUUGGAAUAGUCCUUCCAACGCUUGUGCCGCGUGAAAGUCACUGGAAUGUCCUUCAUUCCGGGAAGACACGGAAGGGUGCCAUGUCCUGAGUCAGAAGACCUGCCCUAUGUG